This 1782-nucleotide long non-coding RNA is filed under the name Panax ginseng (ginseng). RNAcentral's name for it is "long non-coding RNA (PGIN_LNC016712)". Lineage: Eukaryota; Viridiplantae; Streptophyta; Magnoliopsida; Apiales; Araliaceae. The record is from RNAcentral.
ACCACUCCUAAUAAACAUACACACACAGGGAAGGCAAAGGAUUUAUAAAUAGGAAAAAGAGAUAAAUUAAUGGUUGACUCUCUCUUCCAUCUUCCUUCUCAUCGGUCUUUGCUACUUCCAUACAUUUAUAUUUUAAGGUAUGUUAUUAUUCUACAAUUUUCUCUCGAAAUAAUGCUGUUUAUUUAUUUAUUUAUGAUAAUAAUUGAUCUCCAAUCAGUCUCAGUUUAGUACAGAAGUUUGCGUGUACUGAGUGAUAACAAUUUUGGAUUAUACUCCAUAUAUAUUUGGAUUCAUGAUUUUCAAAUUUCAACCCACAUUCGGAUAAUAAUAAAAAAAAUCCCUCGUAUUUUAGCAAAUUUGGCCCUUGUUAAGAGGGAAUAACUCUACCAGUAAUUUUCACUGAAUCUUCAUCCAUAAAUCUCAUUUUCUCCCUCUAAUUUUCGUUAAUCUCUGAAUUCAUAUUCUUAUUUUUGACAUUCUUGAUAAUCCACAUACAUGUGUUAAGAUUUUCACCUAAAAUGAAUAUCCGAAUGACAAAAAAUAUGUGAUAAUCUUAAAUACUUCCUCCGUCCCUUAAUAUAAAACAUUUUAGAGACGUUUUAGAGGAGUAUACGAUGUUUUAGAAUUCUAAGUAAGCAUUAAUUGCUUAGAUUUAAAUAUUACCCUAAGUAUUAAAUGUAAUUUUGGUUCUUUCACUAUUUUUUGUCCAAUAAAUAAUAAUAUCUUUUUCCAGGCAAUAUAGACAUUUGCUAUUAUAUUUAAUGUUAUACAAUCAUUUCGUUAAUACUUGUGCACAAUUCUAAAAAGUCGUAAUGGAUGGAGGGAGUAUUACAUACAUGUUGGUCGUCUUGAUAUAUUUCUAUAUAUAUACAAACAAAUCUCUCGUAUUUUAGUACUACCUUUAUUCUUAAAUAAGUGACGUUUUGAAAAGUUUUACACUUGUUAAUGAAGUUAUUUAUUGCUCCAAUUCUGUCAUUAAGAUUGUGUAUUAUCACAAUUAUCCUUGCAUUAAUUAAGAAAAAAUGUAUUAUAUAGUUGCCUAGAUAAAUGAGAUAGAAAGAUACUUGAGGGCAAUAGAGGAAAAUUAUAAUUAAUGCUUCCUAAAAAUUUGGUAACGUCAAAUAUAUUGGAAAAUUUUAAACUCCUUAAAACGUCACUUAUUUAGGAAUGGAGGGAGUAAUUUAGACAUAAAUAUGUUUUUCUCAUGUUAAAUAAAUAAAUAAAUAUAAAUAUCCUUAUUUAUCACAUAAAUACACAAUAUUUACCAAAUAAAUACCCAUAUAUAUCAAAUGUACGCUUCUUUAUUUUAGUAAUUUAGACAUCAAUAUUAUUAUUAUUAUUAUUAAUAUUUGUUCUUAUUCAUCUUAUGUAAGAGGGGCCCACACACCAUUCUCAUAACCGAAGAGAGAAAUGCUCCAAAAAAUAUGAUAUCUAAAGAGAGAAAUCCUCCAAGAAUAAAUGAUAUCUAAAGAGAGAAAUCCUCAAUCAAGCAAUAAAGUCCCUUUCAUCUUCCUUUAAUUAUCAGUCUUAGCAAUUAACUUCCAUUUAAGGCAUGUUAUUAUUCUACGAUUUUUCUCUAAAUAAUUCUGUGUUUUUUGUUAAUUUUGUUAAUCUUAUUUAUUUAAUAUAAUAAUUGAUCUCCAAUUAGUCUGAUCAGUUUAGUAUACAAGUUUGAGUGUGCUGAUUGAUAACAAUAAUUUUGAUUAUAUUAUUUGGAUUCAUGAUUUUAGGGAGUGGUUAACAUGAAGUUAUCUUUGGUCAAUUGAUCAAUACAAUAUCGAC